Molecule: long non-coding RNA, 1845 nt
Organism: Hordeum vulgare subsp. vulgare (domesticated barley)
Lineage: Eukaryota; Viridiplantae; Streptophyta; Magnoliopsida; Poales; Poaceae
Exons: 4
Source: RefSeq, a predicted model, not a curated record
UGCAUCCAUUUCUGAAGAUUGGAGCAACCAUGGAAACAGGGAAGGGUUGCUUGUUGUUUGCAUAUACGAGUGCUAGGGUUAGACAAUGGUUUGGGAGGCUGGCAUUUGUACAGAGCUUCUAAAACUACACUGAAACAAUUGACAAAUACUGCAUCAGUCGAGUUGGGCAAGAAGGACAAUCACCUGCAUUUUGCUACAUCCAGGAACAGUCAAGUACGGACACUCACGGCCAUUCCAAGGAAAUGUGGCCAAGCAUAAGUUCUUCACGAGGGAGUUCUCUGACAGAAGCUCGUGUCCACCAUCGAUAAUGCCAAGAAGAGUGACACCGGGAAGUUCUUUUCUUGGGAUGGUGAAGAAAUCCCAUGGUGACCAAAUGACCACUGUUUUUCGUCAGUGACCAUUUCAAUCGCCGGCCUCCCCCUGCUACUUUUUUCCUGUUUGUUUUCUUACCAUUCUUCUUUUGUCUUUGGAACCGAUUGUGUUCUUUUUAGCCUUAAAUUCAAAAGCCUUGAAUUAACCUCAACUUAGAUUUCUGAUAUGAAAAGCAUGGGAAGCAGUUCCCUUUUCCUAGAAUGCUAUACAUAUAUGAAGGUCACCAAUGAGUACAAGUCUGCUAAUGUAUAGUUUGUUUCCUAGAAUUCGUAUGAGGACCUGCUAAGCACUGGUGCCUACUGAAGUAUUGAUACUACAAGCUUGACACCUGAAGACCCUACAUAGCAAGAAAAGACAGUUGUGUUAUGCUCAGCACAUUUCUAAACACCUGCAUUUUACAAUCCCCAAUCUACUGUAAAGAGAUAAUUGAUAAUUUACCUUCGUCGACGCAUGCCAAUGGUCCCCGCCCCGCUGGGCUAUAUGGGCGCUCCCUAGUCAGCUAGCCCUUACACACUGCACUAAUCACAAUCUCCCCAUUCUCUGUAGCUACCACAUUCCUGCGCGCCUGUGCUUCCAGGGCCUUGACUCAGGUGCAGGGGGGCUAGAACCGGCUGCACAUCUGAAACCUGAACUACUCCAAUACUCUGAAUAGGAAGGAUAUUUUGCCAAAUAGAAUCCAUGAAGUUAACAGGAUCCGUGAAGUCAAUGGAUUCUAUUAUCUGUCUCCUUCCCUGACAGCUCAAGCAGAAGAAUUUUCAGGCGCAGAAACAAAUCUAUGUUUGUAGUGCAUUGGACUACCAGCUAUGUCAGAAUUCACGACAAUGACCACCACCUGCACGUUUACGACGAAAUAAGGCAGGGACAUGGGCAGUCAGGACGUGCUUCUGGCGUAUCUCACACUUCAUCCAGCUCGUCGUCAUGGAUGACCAGGAGCUCUUUACCUUGGCAGCGAAGAGUAGCCCCACACCGCCGCCUUGCUCUACGCUGGAUGCGGGCCCUAUCUAGCAACCGCUGUCAGAUAGGUCUAUUGCUGCUAGUCCACGCCGCCGACGACCCCUGCGUUGCUAGAUCGAAGCAUUGCAGCCAUUGACAGCAUGCACGGGAUCGAGAAUAUUUUUAUUUUUGAAAUUAAUAAUAAUAACGCGGGAAUAGAGUAUGCGAUACAACUAUUUAACAGUAAUGCGUCUCCAACCCACGCUACUCCUAUCACAGCUAGCAGUAGCGCGGGGUAAAACACGCGUUAAUGCUAAAAGUUAGCUGUACCAUCCUAGCAUUAGCGCGGAACCCCACGCUGCUGAUAGGCUAAAACCCAACGUUACUAGUACGUAGUGUUUUUUCUAGUAGUGUGACUCGAUACUCUCAAGGUCUAAGGAACCGAGCAUACUUAACUCUUCAUGUUAUGGGUUGUAGAUAUGUGAUGAUAGCAUCUCUAAGUAUAACAAACAAGUUGUGUCAAUUAAUAUGAUUAUUUUU